This 88-nucleotide transfer RNA is filed under the name Dipodomys ordii (Ord's kangaroo rat). It matches the Rfam family "tRNA". Rfam says of the family: Transfer RNA (tRNA) molecules are approximately 80 nucleotides in length. Their secondary structure includes four short double-helical elements and three loops (D, anti-codon, and T loops). Lineage: Eukaryota; Metazoa; Chordata; Mammalia; Rodentia; Heteromyidae. The record is from Rfam by way of RNAcentral.
GGCGCUGUGGCUCAAGUGGUAGAGCGCUAGCCUUGAGCUGAAGAGCCGAUUGCAUGCUUGAGGCUCUGGGUUCAAUUCCUCAGCACCA